AUUAGAGUUUGAUCCUGGCUCAGGACGAACGCUGGCGGCGUGCUUAACACAUGCAAGUUGAACGGAGGCAUAUCAUCACGACUUUUCGGAGGAGAGAUGAUGUGUUCUUAGUAGCGGACGGGUGAGUAAUGCAUGAGAACCUGUCCUUCAGAGGGGGACAACAGUUGGAAACGGCUGCUAAUACCCCAUAUGCCGAGAGGUGAAAGGAGUAAUCCGCUGAAGGAGGGGCUCAUGUCCUAUCAGUUAGUUGGUGAGGUAAAGGCUUACCAAGGCGAUGACGGGUAGCCGGCCUGAGAGGGUGACCGGCCACAUUGGAACUGAGAUACGGUCCAGACUCCUACGGGAGGCAGCAGUGGGGAAUAUUGGACAAUGGGCGAAAGCCUGAUCCAGCGACGCCGCGUGAGUGAAGAAGUAUUUCGGUAUGUAAAGCUCUAUCAGCAGGGAAGAAAAUGACGGUACCUGACUAAGAAGCCCCGGCUAACUACGUGCCAGCAGCCGCGGUAAUAAU
RNAcentral lists this ribosomal RNA (508 nucleotides) under uncultured bacterium. Its description in RNAcentral is "bacterial SSU rRNA". It matches the Rfam family "Bacterial small subunit ribosomal RNA", at positions 1 to 526 of the family's 1533-position model. The record is from RNAcentral.